AGGAAGUUGAGGUUUAGGGUUUCAAACUUUCAAUUUCCAAAUUUUUUAGGUCUUUUUCGUCCCAUUUGGGCGUCUCUAUUCUAAUCACUUUCGGGAGGGAAAAAAUCAAAUUCCCAACUCCCAUCGCCUCUCAAAUUCUCCGAUCCAAUCGAUCAGUUCGAAGCAGAGCUCGACCAUUCUCAAGUUGCGAUAUAUUUUUCUUCUAAGUCAU
This 211-nucleotide unclassified non-coding RNA is filed under the name Hevea brasiliensis (rubber tree). The record is from RNAcentral. Lineage: Eukaryota; Viridiplantae; Streptophyta; Magnoliopsida; Malpighiales; Euphorbiaceae.